This 94-nucleotide small nucleolar RNA is filed under the name Microtus ochrogaster (prairie vole). RNAcentral describes it as "Small nucleolar RNA SNORD116 (ENSMOCG00000003986.1)". It matches the Rfam family "Small nucleolar RNA SNORD116". From Rfam's summary of the family: HBII-85 is a member of the C/D class of snoRNAs, which contain the C (UGAUGA) and D (CUGA) box motifs. HBII-85 is encoded in a tandemly repeated array with another C/D snoRNA, HBII-52, in the Prader-Willi syndrome (PWS) region of chromosome 15. Lineage: Eukaryota; Metazoa; Chordata; Mammalia; Rodentia; Cricetidae. The record is from Rfam by way of RNAcentral.
GGAUCGAUGAUGAUUCCCAGUCAAUCAUUCCUUGGAAAAGCUGAACAAAAUGAGUGAAAACUCAGUACCACCGCUCUCAUCGAGACUGAGGUCC